This is a long non-coding RNA of Maniola jurtina (meadow brown), 158 nucleotides long. RefSeq lists it as uncharacterized. NCBI's taxonomy places the organism in Eukaryota, Metazoa, Arthropoda, Insecta, Lepidoptera, Nymphalidae. The record is from RefSeq and is a predicted model, not a curated record. The transcript is spliced from 3 exons.
GCCGCCUGGGGGUUUCAGCGCCGCUCCUUUCUUCAGGGGUUCCACGGACUCCUUGUGUGAGCAGACGCGCCAGUCGAGAUCCUGUCGAGCUGCCUGUACUGGAUACUGAACCACGAGGGGUUGGCAACCUGAGUACCAGUGAAUCAGUCCUAUCUUCA